This 734-nucleotide ribosomal RNA is filed under the name uncultured bacterium. Its description in RNAcentral is "bacterial SSU rRNA". It matches the Rfam family "Bacterial small subunit ribosomal RNA", at positions 8 to 795 of the family's 1533-position model. The record is from RNAcentral.
AGAGUUUGAUCCUGGCUCAGGAUUAACGUNGGCUGUGCGCCUAACACAUGCAAGUCGAGCGAUAUAGCGGCAGACGAGAGAGUAAUAGUAAGGAACUUACCCCCGAGUGAAGGAUAGCCAGCCGAAAGGUUGGGUAAUCCUGCAUAAUAUCGAAAGAUCAAAGCCUUCGGGCGCUUGGGGAGAGGCCUUACUCCUAUCAGCUUGUUGGUGAGGUAAUGGCUCACCAAGGCGAUGACGGGUAGCUGGUCUGAGAGGAUGAUCAGCCUCGAUGGGACUGAGACACGGCCCAUACUCCUACGGGAGGCAGCAGUUGGGGAUUUUGCACAAUGGGCGAAAGCCUGAUGCAGCGACACAGCGUGAAGGAUGAAGGUUCUAGGAUCGUAAACUUCUUUUAUCAGGGAGUAAUCUUGAAAGUACCUGAUGAAUAAGGACCGGCUAACUACGUGCCAGCAGCCGCGGUAAUACGUAGGGUCCGAACGUUAUCCGGAAUUAUUGGGCGUAAAGAGUUCGUAGGUGGUUUUGUAAGUUGGGUAUUAAAUCUAUCGGCUCAACCGAUAAACUGUACUCAAAACUGCAUUACUUGUGGUUUGCAAGGGCAGAUGGAAUUCAUGGUGUAGCAGUGGAAUGCGUAGAUAUCAUGAAGAACACCAAUGGCGAAGGCAGUCUGCUAGGCUUAUCCAGACACUGAGGAACGAAAGCGUGGGUAGCGAACGGGAUUAGAUACCCUGGUAGUC